Small nuclear RNA from Otolemur garnettii (small-eared galago), 107 nucleotides. NCBI's taxonomy places the organism in Eukaryota, Metazoa, Chordata, Mammalia, Primates, Galagidae. The record is from Ensembl.
GUGCUUGCUUCGGCAGCACAUAUACUAAAAUUGGAAUGAUACAGAGAAGAUUAGCAUGGCCCCUGCACAAGGAUGACAUGCAAAUUCAUGAAGCAUUUCAUAUUUUU